Gossypium raimondii (Peruvian cotton) is the source of this 107-nucleotide small nucleolar RNA. It matches the Rfam family "Plant small nucleolar RNA R71". Rfam says of the family: R71 is a member of the C/D box family of snoRNAs containing the C (UGAUGA) and D (CUGA) box motifs. Multiple nearly identical copies of this snoRNA have been identified in Arabidopsis, and it is thought to function as a 2'-O-ribose methylation guide for 18S ribosomal RNA. NCBI's taxonomy places the organism in Eukaryota, Viridiplantae, Streptophyta, Magnoliopsida, Malvales, Malvaceae. The record is from Rfam.
AACCCAUGAUGAGGACACCUUUUCAAAAGAUCCUUAACUCUCUCCCGUGCAUUACAUAGUGUCUCAAGCUCAAAUUGAGAAAAAAAAGAGAAAUUAUUCCUCAACUU